UGAUUGUUACCGAAUAACUGACUAUUACUAAAUAAAUAAUUGUUCUGAUUGACUGAUUGUUAAUGAAUAUUACUGAUUGAUUAAUUGCUAUUGAAAAAUAAUAAAUGAUUUUGAACUUAAAUUAGACCAAAAUAUUGGUUGGAAAGUGAAUGUUUGAAUACUCAUUGAGUUUGAAAAGUUCAAUAUAUAUAAUUUAAUAUGUUUUAUAAUUGUUUAAGUGUUCGGAUUAUAGAAAUACCACUAAGUGUAUACUCAGCG
This 258-nucleotide long non-coding RNA is filed under the name Gossypium barbadense (sea-island cotton). RNAcentral's name for it is "long non-coding RNA (GBAR_LNC012517)". Lineage: Eukaryota; Viridiplantae; Streptophyta; Magnoliopsida; Malvales; Malvaceae. The record is from RNAcentral.